RNAcentral lists this ribosomal RNA (465 nucleotides) under uncultured bacterium. RNAcentral describes it as "partial 16S ribosomal RNA". It matches the Rfam family "Bacterial small subunit ribosomal RNA", at positions 338 to 795 of the family's 1533-position model. The record is from RNAcentral.
CCUACGGGAGGCUGCAGUGGGGAAUAUUGCGCAAUGGGCGAAAGCCUGACGCAGCGACGCCGCGUGAGGGACGAAGGUCUUCGGAUCGUAAACCUCUGUCAGCAGGGAAGAACGGUCACUGUGCUAAUCAGCAGUGAAUUGACGGUACCUGCAAAGGAAGCACCGGCUAACUCCGUGCCAGCAGCCGCGGUAAUACGGAGGGUGCGAGCGUUAAUCGGAAUUACUGGGCGUAAAGCGCUCGUAGGCGGUAUGUCAAGUCAAGGGGGAAAUCCCCGCGCUCAACGUGGGAACUGCCUUUGAAACUGGCAAACUGGAGUGUGUGAGAGGAUAGUGGAAUUCCAGGUGUAGGAGUGAAAUCCGUAGAUAUCUGGAGGAACAUCAGGGGCGAAGGCGACUAUCUGGCACAUAACUGACGCUGAGGAGCGAAAGCGUGGGUAGCAAACAGGAUUAGAUACCCGGGUAGUC